GUUACACAUCCAGUCUACGGCACAUAAGAGCUGCUCUCUGAUUGCGAGUGGCGAACGGGUGAGUAAUAUAUCGGAACGUGCCCAGUAAUGGGGAAUAACUAACUUGAAAGGUUAGCUAAUACCGCAUACGACUACGGGUGAAAGCAGGGAUCUUAGGACUUGCGUUAUUGGAGCGGCCGAUAUCUGAUUAGCUUGUUGGUGGGGUAAAAGCCUACCCAUGGCACGAUCAGUAGCUGGUCUGAGAGGACGAUCAGCCACACUGGAACUGAGACACUGUCCAGACUCCCUACGGGAGGCAGGCAGUGGGAAUCUUGGACACUGGGUGAAGCCUGUAUCAGGCAUCCCGCGUGAGUGAAGAAGUGCGUCGGGUUGUAAAGCUCUUUCGAAAGUGAAGACAACCUUAUUUCGUACUAUGUUAUAAGUAUUACCGGUACUCUUGAAAGAGACACGCGCUAGCUUCGUGUGCCGCAGGCGCGGGGAAACGUAAGGUGGCGCGCGUCACGGGAAUUCUGUGGGGUAAAGGUGGGCAGGGGGUUUGUAAGUCGAUUUAAACCCGCAGCUAAUGUGAACGGUUUGAAACCCAAACUCAU
RNAcentral lists this ribosomal RNA (590 nucleotides) under uncultured beta proteobacterium. Its description in RNAcentral is "bacterial SSU rRNA". It matches the Rfam family "Bacterial small subunit ribosomal RNA", at positions 48 to 645 of the family's 1533-position model. The record is from RNAcentral. Lineage: Bacteria; Pseudomonadati; Pseudomonadota; Betaproteobacteria.